Molecule: ribosomal RNA, 371 nt
Filed under: uncultured organism
Description: bacterial SSU rRNA
Rfam family: Bacterial small subunit ribosomal RNA
Source: RNAcentral
CAGAGGGUGCGAGCGUUAAUCGGAAUUACUCGGCGUAAAGCGUGCGUAGACGGUUAUUUAAGUCGGGUGUGAAAGCCCCGGGCUCAACCUGGGAAUUGCAUUCGAGACUGAAUAGCUAGGGUACGGUAGAGGGAAGUGGAAUUUCCGGUGUAGCGGUGAAAUGCGUAGAUAUCGGAAGGAACAUCAGUGGCGAAAGCGACUUCCUGGACCAGUACCGACGUUCAGGCACGAAAGCGUGGGGAGCAAACAGGAUUAGAUACCCUGGUAGUCCACGCCAUAAACGAUGAGGACUAGACGUUGGAGGGGUAAGCCUUUCAGUGUCGUAGCUAACGCGCUAAGUCCUCCGCCUGGGGAGUACGGCCGCAAGGUUG